UACAGAGGUCUCAAGCGUUGUUCGGAUUCAUUGGGCGUAAAGGGUGCGUAGGCGGCGCGGUAAGUCGGGUGUGAAAUUUCGGAGUCUUAACUUCGAAACUGCAUUCGAUACUGCCGUGCUUGAGGACUGGAGAGGAGACUGGAAUUUACGGUGUAGCGGUGAAAUGCGUAGAUAUCGUAAGGAAGACCAGUGGCGAAGGCGGGUCUCUGGACAGUUCCUGACGCUGAGGCACGAAGGCCAGGGGAGCAAACGGG
RNAcentral lists this ribosomal RNA (254 nucleotides) under uncultured bacterium. Its description in RNAcentral is "partial 16S ribosomal RNA". It matches the Rfam family "Bacterial small subunit ribosomal RNA", at positions 524 to 776 of the family's 1533-position model. The record is from RNAcentral.